GUCAGCACCUGACCUGGUGCCCACAGCUACACCAGAACAAGAGAUUCUGAAGUGAACAACAGAGGGGAGUACUGAAACAUUUGGGAAGAGGAAGCCCUCUCCUAAUAAAUGGAUGCUGACUGCAUGUUGUAAAACAGCAUUGGACUUUACUGGAAAGGUCAGCUGUCUGUCAGUCUGC
This 178-nucleotide long non-coding RNA is filed under the name Cyanistes caeruleus (blue tit). Its description in RNAcentral is "lncRNA (ENSCCEG00000006764.1)". The record is from RNAcentral. Lineage: Eukaryota; Metazoa; Chordata; Aves; Passeriformes; Paridae.